UACGUAGGGGGCAAGCGUUGUCCGGAUUUAUUGGGCGUAAAGCGCGUGUAGGCGGCCAGGUAGGUCGGUUGUGAAAACUGGAGGCUUAACCUCCAGACGUCGACGGAAACCGCGUGGCUAGAGUCCGGAAGAGGAGAGUGGAAUUCCUGGUGUAGCGGUGAAAUGCGCAGAUAUCAGGAAGAACACCAAUGGCGAAGGCAGCUCUCUGGGACGGUACUGACGCUGAGACGCGAAAGCGUGGGGAGCGAACAGG
Molecule: ribosomal RNA, 253 nt
Filed under: uncultured bacterium
Lineage: Bacteria
Description: partial 16S ribosomal RNA
Rfam family: Bacterial small subunit ribosomal RNA
Source: RNAcentral